AUGGUCCCGCUGAGCCACCCCGGCGUCGCCGCCGAGGUGCGGCUGGUGCUGCAGGGCGCCACCGACGCCGACCGCGAGUCCGUCCGCCGCGAGCUCCGCCAGUUAGUUGACUAUGGUCACGAUGGAUGUCUUUUGGUGCUUCAAGUCUGUUUGGAUGAAGUGCUGCUGAAUGACAGGGAGGCCAAAAACUUGCAGUUGAAGCAUGAUCUUUUGUCCGCCACUUUCAGAUAUUGUCUGGAUAAAACAUACUUUAGUACUUGUUUCUGUGAGGCACUGAUGCGGAUGAAAACUGCUACUGAUGGCCUCCUGGAGACUCUGUCGAGUGCACUGGAACUCUCAGCAGCCGAGAAAGUCGGUAUUGGUCUUGCGCUGUCAGAUUCUGAUAAUUCAGGCAUGAAGCUAAAAGGGCAACAAUUUGCAAUUGCCCAAAUUGAGGAGUUGUCCUUGAAUCCUAAUCAAUUGGUAUCAAAUAAUCAAAUUCAUGAAAUCGUUGUCUUCCUUCACCAGACCGAUGGCUUGACAAAGCAUAUGGAUACUUUUAGUAACAUUGCUUCUCUUCUAGAAGUUGGACAGAGUCCUUUUUUUGCUCCCAUCCCCAAAGAGCAGUAUGAUGUUCAGUCAAUAAAUCAUUCAAGACAUUUGGAGAUGUACUUAGAUAGCACGAAUGAUGACUUUGAGUCACUUCUUUCUGAAAUUGGGAAAGAAAUAAGUAUGGCGGACAUCGUAACCGAGUUGGGUUAUGGAUGCACUGUUGACAGCACACAGUGUAAGGAAAUACUUUCCACUUUUCAGCCUCUUGAUGAUGUGGCAAUAUCUAAGUUACUUGGGGCAGUUAUUGGCACUCAAAAUAGUGUCGCAGAGGUCCAUAACACUUAUGCAACCUUUGUAUCUGCUAUUCGAAAUACCCACUUGAGUGAGUCACCUCAAUUGACUACAUGGAACACAGAUGUUCUUGUGGAUUCAAUCAACGAAUUGGCCCCAAGUACUAAUUGGGUGCAUGUUAUGGAAAGCCUUGAUCAUGAGGGUUUCAGUAUUCCUGAUGAAGCAGCUUUCUGUUUACUGAUGAAUAUAUAUGGCCGCGCUUGCAAGGAUCCCUUUCCGCUUCAUGCUGUUUGUGGGUCAAUGUGGACAAAUACAGAAGGCCAGAUAUCAUUUUUAAAGCAUGCAAUUUCUACCCCUGCUACUAUUUUUACAUUUGCACAUAGUUCAAGGCUGCUGGCACUUCCGGACUUUGCAAGUCUUGGUCCAGGUAAUCAUGCUUGGUUUUGCCUUGACCUUCUAGAGGUUUUAUGCCAGCUUGCUGAAGUUGGACACACUGUGUCGGUGCGAUCCAUGCUCGAGUAUCCUUUGGGACAUUGCCCUGAACUCCUACUUGUUGGUCUUGGACACAUCAACACUGCCUAUAAUCUCCUCCAAUUUGAAGUGCUGUCCUGUGCAUUUCCUGCUAUUCUGAAGGACACCACAAAGAGAAAUGUGGUGAAUUAUCUAUGGCAUAUUAACCCAUGCCUCACCCUUCGAGGAUUUGUUGAUGCUCAUUCUGAUCCAAGCUGUCUCCUGAGAAUUGUGGAUGUGUGUCAUGACCUGAAGAUCCUUUCUGCUGUCCUAGAGUCCACUCCAUUUGCAUUUAGCAUUAGAUUGGCGGCUGCUGCUUGUAGGAAAGAUCAUAGCCAUCUAGAGAAAUGGCUCACUGAGAAGUUAACUGUAUACAAGGACAGUUUUGUUGAGGAAUGCGUUAAUUUCCUUAAAGAAGCUAUGAACGCCGCAUCUUAUGCGGUAGAGGGUACCACGGAACAACCUCAGGCUAGUGUGGUGGACAUGUACUGGGAAGCCUGUCCUCCCUUUAUAAAGGUUCUCCAGUCUCACUUGGGACAGCUCUUAUCCAACCAACUCGCGGAUGAACUAAGGGAGUUGUGUGCUCUGUAUGAAUCGAGAAAUCAGGGUCCUGUAGCAAGGGACAUCCCUACCUCGGAGGGAGGUUCAGAUGAUGUUGAAGUAGAAGCAAAUGCGUACUUUCACCAGAUGUUUUCUGGACAGAUAAACAUUGAUGUGAUGAUACAAAUGCUCACUCGCUUCAAAGAAUCUCCAGAUAAGAGGGAGCAAUCGAUUUUUAAUUGUAUGAUCUCAAAUCUGUUUGAGGAAUACAAGUUCUUUACGAAGUAUCCGGAUAAGCAGCUUAAGCUAGCUGCUGUGCUAUUUGGAUCCCUUAUCAAACAUGAACUUGUGGCCCACCUUGGACUUGGGAUUGCUCUACGCGCUGUUCUUGAUGCCUUACGCAAGUCUGUUGAUUCAAAGAUGUUUAUGUUUGGUACGACAGCAUUGGAACAGUUCAUGGAUCGUGUAAUAGAGUGGCCACAGUACUGCAAUCACAUAUUGCAGAUUUCACAUCUUCGAGCCACUCAUGCUGAAAUGGUCUCUGCAAUUGAGCGAGCACUUGCCAGAAUUUCAUCAAGUCAAAAUGAGCCCAACGCUGGCAACUUGCUUUCUACGGAGCAGCUUCUUUCUGGAUCGUCAUCUAUUGAAGCCAUGGAGGCAUCUGAACCAUCAUGGCAGUUAAUGGGUACAUCUCCAACUCAGCUAGGAAGGACACCUUACCCGUUGCAGCAAAGGCAACCAAGUGUACUUGGAGACAGGUCCAAGAUCUCCAUUGGCACCUCUCAGAAUAAAAGCAUCUUACCUAGUCAGCCUUCAGUUCCUCCGGCAUCUGCUGAUUCAGCCUUUAAUCUAAAGACUACUGUUCCACCUUCUUCAUUAGCUCACCCUACGAGCAUGUCAAAUACUGCUCAUUCCACUAGUUUUCUGCGCCUCCGGAAUACCUCAACAGUUUUGCCCCGGCAACAUUCCUACACUACGGGAUUUGGAAAUGCCUUAAAUAUUGAGACACUUGUAGCAGCAGCGGAGCAAAGAGAUAAUCCAAUUGAGACUCCUCCAUCUGAAGUUCACGACAAGAUCUUGUUUAUGAUUAACAAUAUAUCCUCCUCUAAUAUGGAAGCCAAGGCGAAAGAAUUUAAUGAAGUGCUUCAGGAACAAUAUUAUCCUUGGUUUGCACAGUACAUGGUCAUGAAAAGGGCAAGCAUCGAGCCAAAUUUUCAUGAUUUAUACCUGAAAUUCUUUGAUAAACUUAACUCAAGAUCCUUGAGUAAGGAGAUGCUGAAAGCUACAUAUGAGAACUGCAAGGUUUUGUUAAGAUCAGAUCUUAUCAAAUCUAGUUCCGAGGAACGCUCCUUGCUAAAAAAUUUGGGCAGUUGGUUGGGAAAAUUUACCAUUGGAAGAAACCAGACAUUAAGAGCCAAGGAAAUUGACCCGAAAUCGCUUAUUGUGGAGGCUUAUGAGAGAGGACUUAUGAUUGCUGUAAUUCCAUUCACUUCAAAGAUUCUCGAACCUUGCAAUUCAAGUAUAGCAUAUCGUCCUCCAAAUCCGUGGACAAUGGGAAUUCUUAGUCUACUUUCUGAGAUCUAUAAUCUACCAAACCUGAAGAUGAAUCUAAAAUUUGACAUUGAGGUCCUGUUUAAGAACCUCAGUGUGGACAUGAAAGAUGUGAAACCGACUUCCCUUCUUAAAGAUCGAGGACGUGAAGUUGAGGGUAACCCAGAUUUUUCAAACAAAGAUGUUGCUUCAUCCCAAACCCCAGUGGCUGCAGAAGUCUCAUCAGGUGUCAACCCUCCAAUAAAACAUGUAGACCUGCAGCCUGAGGUCAAUAGCACUUCCCGUGCCCUGAGCCUUCCAACUAUGUAUACUGCUCCUGUUCGUCUCCCUCCUAACAGUAUGGUGGAGGAUGAUAAAAUUGCUCUAAUGAUGCCUGAGCAAGUCCCCUCUCACACCUUGACCCAGGUCUCAUCUUCACAAACACCAUUAGUAUCACUAUCGCCAUCGCCACUCUCUCUAACUCAGCUUUUGUCGCUGAUUCCACAUGAUGAGAUACGCUUCAAAAUAAGCUCAAAACUUUUGCCUUUUGGCUCACAGUUGCAGUUCAGCAAAAUCAUGGGCGUGGCUUUGGAUAAGGCUAUCAAAGAGAUAAUACUCCCUGUCAUUGAAAGAAGUGUCUCAAUAGCAAGCAAAACUACAAAAGAAAUUAUUCUGAAGGAUUAUGCAACGGAAUCUGAUUACAGUGCCGCAAAUCGCUCUGCUCGUUUAAUGGUCGGGACAUUAGCUGGAAGUCUAGCCCAUGUUACUUGCAAGGAACCGCUUCGUGUUGCGCUACUGUCUCAUCUCCGAAGCCUUACUCAAAACCUUGCUAGCAACAGCGAAACUCUUGAGCGAAUAGUACUUGUUCUGAUCAACGACAAUUUGGAUCUUGGCUGCGCAAGUAUCGAGUCUGUAGCGGCGCGCAAGGCUGUUGAUUCGAUUGAGGGUGAAAUAACUCAAUCCUUUUCACAACAAAGGAAGAAAAGAGAGGCAGCUGGUCCUGCAUAUUAUGACUCUUUUACUUAUGCUCAAGGUCCAUUUGCCCCUGUACCUGAAGUAUUCCAUACUAAGGCAGAGUCUCCCGCCCAACAACGAGUGUAUGAGGAGUUUGUUCAUGUAUGGCAGAGCCAUGGCCAAAGUGUUGGUGCUGCAGGUUCUGGCUCUUCUGGUACAGCUGCUGUAUCGAGCAAUUUUGGUGUACCUCGAGCUUACAGCCCAAGUUUAGCACAAGCUUCCAGUGCUUUCUUGUCUGCUCAAACAGCUCCACUUACAUUAACUCAGCCUACAGAGCUGGUGUAUGAGGAAUUAAUUCCUGGCGCUGCACAACUUUCUAGUGAUUCUCCUGCUCAAGUUGGGACCGGCGACUCUUCUGGCUGGCUUGGUGGAACCAUUGGCGAUGCAUCCACAUCUCCACCCUUGAUGUCUAAUGAACUUCCUGCGGGAGGAAUAAUGGAUUUAAAUGUUAUGACGCCACCUCCAGCUACAGUUUCUGACAAUCUAGGAUCUGGUUUACCUGAUACUUUGAGCACUGGUGAUGCUAUGGAGAGAUACGAACAGGUUUCACAAAAGCUGGAAGUCUUGAUUGCCAAGGAUGGUAAAGAUGUGGAAAUCCAGUCUGUUAUAGCGGAAGUUCCUGAUAUCUUGCUCAAAUGUGUUAACCGGGAUGAGGCUGCAUUAGCUGUUGCACAAAAGGUUUUAAGAAGUUUGUAUGACAACACAUCAAAUAGCGGUUCUGUCAUGUGGUUUCUAGCAACCUUAGUUGCGAUAAGAGAUGUAUGCAAGCUUGUUGUCAAGGAGCUAACAAAUUGGGUAAUCUAUUCGGACGAUGAGAAGAAGUUUAAUAGUGAAAUCAUUUUUGCCCUUAUUCGUUCUGAUUUGCUGGAUGUCAGGGAGUACAAUGUUCAUUUAGCAAAGCUAAUUGACGGUGGAAGAAACAAGAUUGCAACAGAAUUUGCCAUGUCACUUCUCCAGACAUUGAUUACUCAGGACUCUGCUAGUAUCUCAGAACUCCAGGAUGUUGUUGAUGUGCUAUCAAAGAUUUCAAGGAGGCCAGGUUCACCUGAGUUGAUGCGACAGGUGAAUGAGAUUGCAAGGAAUAAUGCCAACAAUGCUCCUGCUUUUGCUUUUGGGAAGGAUAAAAAGGUUUUACCUAACCGGGCAAACAAAGAGGAAAACAGUGUUAGCGAUGCCACUGUAGCUGAUUCUGUUGGUUUUCAAGACCAGGUUGCACACCUAUUUUCUGAGUGGUGCCAAAUAUGUGAUCAUCCAAAUGCUAGUGAUGCGGCCUAUAGUCGUUUUGUUAUGCAGUUGCAACAUAUUGGCCUGCUGAAGGGAGACGAAUUCACAGAGCGUUUCUUCCGAAUUCUCACGGAACUUGCUGUUGCACACUCUCUAGUCUCUGAGCAAAUUAAUGCUCCUGGUGGAUUGUCUCAGCAGUCAUCACAUAUAUCAUAUUUCCCCAUUGAUUCAUAUUCGAAGCUUGUGUCUGUGGUGAUAAAGAAUUGUUCAGUGGAAAUAGGACCAAAUAAAGGCAGCCUUCUUCCCAAGAUAUUGUCAGUGACAAUUAGGGUCAUUCAGAAAGAUGCUGAAGAGAAGAAAGCUUCAUUUAACCCCCGACCAUACUUUCGGCUAUUUAUCAAUUGGCUGAAUGACCUUAGUAAUUCUGAACUCCAUCAUGAUGGAGCUAAUUUCCAGGUUUUGGCUGCAUUUGCAAAUGCAUUCCAUGUACUGCAACCCUCGAGAAUUCCUAGCUUGAGCUUUGCUUGGCUUGAGUUGGUGAGUCAUAGAACCUUCAUGGCAAGACUGCUGACGGGCAAUUCACAAAAAGGGUGGCCUUUUUUCCAACGGCUACUUAUUGAUCUGUUCAAAUUCAUGGAACCAUAUUUGAGAACUGCUGACCUAUUAGAACCAGUGCACCUUAUGUACAAAGGAACUAUGAGAGUGCUGCUUGUACUACUCCAUGACUUUCCUGAAUUUCUGUGUGACUAUCACUUCAGUUUUUGUGACGUGAUCCCUUCCAGUUGCAUUCAAAUGCGCAAUGUCAUUCUCAGUGCUUUUCCGCGCAACAUGAGACUUCCAGACCCAUCUACCCCUAAUUUGAAGAUUGAUCUGCUAGCUGAAAUUUCAUUACCUCCACGAAUCAUGUCAGAUGUUGAUGGUGCCCUCAAGUCAAAGCAUAUGAAGGCUGAAGUCGAUGAGUAUCUUAAGAGACCAGAAGGCUCAUCCUUUUUGAAUGAUCUGAAGCAAAAGUUGCUGCUGCCUCAGAAUGAAGCUAAUGUUGCUGGGACACGCUACAAUGUGCCUCUGAUGAAUUCGCUUGUUCUCUACAUUGGCAUCCAAGCGGUGCAACAACUGCAAGCGAACAAGGCAAAUGCAUCUGCGUCAGCACAGCAGAUUAACCAUAGUACAAUGGAUAUUUUUCAGAUCGAAACUGCGACUGAAUUUUUCAGAUAUCUUGUAACGAACUUGGAUACAGAGGGGCGCCACCUGUUUUUGAAUGCGAUUGCAAACCAACUGCGCUACCCGAAUAGCCACACGCACUACUUCUCCUUCAUCAUUCUGUAUCUAUUUGCUGAAGCUAGCCAGGAACAUAUCCAGGAGCAGGUGACGAGGGUUCUCUUAGAACGGCUGAUAGUGAAUCGUCCUCACCCCUGGGGAUUACUCAUCACCUUCAUCGAGCUGAUAAAGAACCCGCGCUACAACUUUUGGAACCGAGCCUUCACACACUGCGCACCCGAGAUUAAGCAGCUGUUUGAGUCAGUCGCAAAGUCAUGCGGUGGAGGCGCUGGAAAAGCAGUGGAUGAUGGCUCUGAUGUCAGCCACUAA
This 7227-nucleotide ribosomal RNA is filed under the name Triticum aestivum (bread wheat). RNAcentral's name for it is "partial small subunit ribosomal RNA". Lineage: Eukaryota; Viridiplantae; Streptophyta; Magnoliopsida; Poales; Poaceae. The record is from RNAcentral.